Molecule: ribosomal RNA, 253 nt
Filed under: uncultured bacterium
Lineage: Bacteria
Description: partial 16S ribosomal RNA
Rfam family: Bacterial small subunit ribosomal RNA
Source: RNAcentral
GACAGAGGGGGCGAGCGGUGUCCGGAGUCACUGGGCGUAAAGCGCGGGCAGGCGGCAACCUUAGUGUCGUGUGAAAGCCCCCGGCUCAACCGGGGGAGGCCAUGGCAAACUGGGUCGCUCGAGCUGCGGAGAGGCCCCUCGAAUUGCCGGUGUAGCGGUGAAAUGCGUAGAGAUCGGCAGGAAGACCAAGGGGGAAGCCAGGGGGCUGGCCGCAGGCUGACGCUGAGGCGCGACAGCGUGGGGAGCAAAUCGG